AGAUUUAUAGUUUAAAUUAAAAUAUUUAAUUUGCAAUUAAAAGAUAAUGUAAUAUUUAAGAAUUG
Molecule: transfer RNA, 65 nt
Filed under: Lophogaster typicus
Lineage: Eukaryota; Metazoa; Arthropoda; Malacostraca; Lophogastrida; Lophogastridae
Description: tRNA-Ala
Source: RNAcentral